GAAUUUGAGGAGUUUGUUUUCAUUUUGAGUUUUCUUUGUAUUAUUUUUGCUUUUGAAAUUUUUUGAUGUACUUUUGGUGGCUCUAGUUCACCAAAACUUUGUUUUUUUAGUUGUUUUGAUAAUUGCAUGAAUACUUUUUGAGAUUUAAGUGUGUUACAAUCAAUUUGGUUUACCAACAUUUUUUGUUUAAUUGUUCUUACUCUUAAGUCAAGCUUAAAGCAACCAAGAAAUGUUCGCAAAGAAAGAAGCAUAGGACACUUCGAGU
Molecule: long non-coding RNA, 265 nt
Filed under: Lathyrus oleraceus (garden pea)
Lineage: Eukaryota; Viridiplantae; Streptophyta; Magnoliopsida; Fabales; Fabaceae
Description: Pisum sativum (pea) long non-coding RNA (PSAT_LNC004515)
Source: RNAcentral